RNAcentral lists this ribosomal RNA (459 nucleotides) under uncultured Rhodococcus sp. RNAcentral's name for it is "bacterial SSU rRNA". It matches the Rfam family "Bacterial small subunit ribosomal RNA", at positions 923 to 1382 of the family's 1533-position model. Lineage: Bacteria; Bacillati; Actinomycetota; Actinomycetes; Mycobacteriales; Nocardiaceae. The record is from RNAcentral.
GCACAAGCGGCGGAGCAUGUGGAUUAAUUCGAUGCAACGCGAAGAACCUUACCUGGGUUUGACAUACACCGGAAAACCGUAGAGAUACGGUCCUCCUUGUGGUCGGUGUACAGGUGGUGCAUGGCUGUCGUCAGCUCGUGUCGUGAGAUGUUGGGUUAAGUCCCGCAACGAGCGCAACCCUUGUCUUAUGUUGCCAGCACGUGAUGGUGGGGACUCGUAAGAGACUGCCGGGGUCAACUCGGAGGAAGGUGGGGACGACGUCAAGUCAUCAUGCCCCUUAUGUCCAGGGCUUCACACAUGCUACAAUGGCCAGUACAGAGGGCUGCGAGACCGUGAGGUGGAGCGAAUCCCUUAAAGCUGGUCUCAGUUCGGAUCGGGGUCUGCAACUCGACCCCGUGAAGUCGGAGUCGCUAGUAAUCGCAGAUCAGCAACGCUGCGGUGAAUACGUUCCCGGGCCUU